UGCCUGUCCUCUGGUGCACCAGG
Molecule: microRNA, 23 nt
Filed under: Eptesicus fuscus (big brown bat)
Lineage: Eukaryota; Metazoa; Chordata; Mammalia; Chiroptera; Vespertilionidae
Description: efu-miR-9188a
Source: miRBase by way of RNAcentral